This 406-nucleotide long non-coding RNA is filed under the name Pan troglodytes (chimpanzee). RNAcentral describes it as "long non-coding RNA NONPTRT006780". Lineage: Eukaryota; Metazoa; Chordata; Mammalia; Primates; Hominidae. The record is from RNAcentral.
GGUUUUUAUGGGAAGUUUAAGCAUGCUAGAGCUGGGAAGGCCAGGCUGCAGGGACCCCAGGCCUGCCUUGCCCUGAAGAGAGAGGUCUCCCUUCCCCAGGACCACCCUCUCACCAUCCACACUUGAAGCCCUCUCCAAAAUCUAGUUUCACCGCUUGCUUUGGCAGACUCCUUCCUCCUGUUCCAAACUUGGGAAUUCUGAGGUGUCUCUUGGCUGCUGCGCAUAAGUCCCAGUUCACAGCUGCAACUUGGGGGACUGAGGGUGGACACAAUGAGCCACAUGCAAAAGUGUGCUGCUGGUUACUGAGGGAAUGGGCGUUUCCUGUACUGGCCAUUACAGGAGAUAAAAGAGCCACCCAAAUCAGUGAAGUCCAUGGGAAUGAGAGGACCUAUUAGAAACCGCACAC